Molecule: long non-coding RNA, 75 nt
Organism: Maniola jurtina (meadow brown)
Lineage: Eukaryota; Metazoa; Arthropoda; Insecta; Lepidoptera; Nymphalidae
Exons: 3
Source: RefSeq, a predicted model, not a curated record
AUUAAAGUCCUUCGCCGCGCCGAGUACGUGUUUGUUCGGGCUAAUCUCAGAAAUUACUAUAAUGUUAUGUGUUAA